GACGAACCGUGCGAACGUUGUUCGGAUUCACUGGGCUUAAAGGGCGCGUAGGCGGUCGGCCAAGUCUGGGGUGAAAUCUUUCGGCUCAACCGGAAAAGUGCCCCCGAUACUGGCCGUCUAGAGGGAGGUAGGGGCAUGUGGAACUUCCGGUGGAGCGGUGAAAUGCGUAGAUAUCGGGAGGAACACCAGUGGCGAAGGCGACUACCUGGCCUGUAACUGACGCUGAGACGCGAAAGCGUGGGGAGCAAACCGG
Molecule: ribosomal RNA, 253 nt
Filed under: uncultured bacterium
Lineage: Bacteria
Description: partial 16S ribosomal RNA
Rfam family: Bacterial small subunit ribosomal RNA
Source: RNAcentral